This 433-nucleotide ribosomal RNA is filed under the name uncultured bacterium. RNAcentral's name for it is "partial 16S ribosomal RNA". It matches the Rfam family "Bacterial small subunit ribosomal RNA", at positions 29 to 507 of the family's 1533-position model. The record is from RNAcentral.
AACGAACGCUGGCGGCAUGCCUAACACAUGCAAGUCGAACGAAGGCUUCGGCCUUAGUGGCGCACGGGUGCGUAACGCGUGGGAAUCUGCCCUUUGGUUCGGAACAACAGCUGGAAACGGCUGCUAAUACCGGAUGAUCACGAAAGUCCAAAGAUUUAUCGCCAGAGGAUGAGCCCGCGUUGGAUUAGGUAGUUGGUGGGGUAAAGGCCUACCAACCCGACGAUCCAUAGCUGGUCUGAGAGGAUGAUCAGCCACACUGGGACUGCGACACGGCCCAGACUCGGACGGCGGGCAGCCGUAGGGACUAUUAGACGAGGCGAGCAAGCCUGAGCCAGCAAUGCCGAGUGCGUAAUCACGGCCCUAGGGUUGUAGGCCUCUCUUGCACGGCAAGAUAAUGACUGUACCGGGGGAAUAAGCCCGGGCUAACUCCGUG